This 253-nucleotide ribosomal RNA is filed under the name uncultured bacterium. RNAcentral describes it as "partial 16S ribosomal RNA". It matches the Rfam family "Bacterial small subunit ribosomal RNA", at positions 524 to 776 of the family's 1533-position model. The record is from RNAcentral.
UACGUAGGGGCCGAGCGUUGUCCGGAGUUACUGGGCGUAAAGCGCGCGCAGGCGGCUCGUCAAGCCUGACGUGAAAGCCCCCGGCUCAACCGGGGAGGGUCGUCGGGGACUGGCGGGCUUGAGGUCGGCAGGGGCUGGUGGAAUUCCCAGUGUAGUGGUGAAAUGCGUAGAGAUCGGGAGGAACACCCGUGGCGAAGGCGGCCAGCUGGGCCGGACCUGACGCUGAGGCGCGAAGGCGUGGGGAGCGAACGGG